This 513-nucleotide ribosomal RNA is filed under the name uncultured bacterium. Its description in RNAcentral is "partial 16S ribosomal RNA". It matches the Rfam family "Bacterial small subunit ribosomal RNA", at positions 28 to 523 of the family's 1533-position model. The record is from RNAcentral.
GAUGAACGCUGGCGGCGUGCCUAAUACAUGCAAGUCGAGCGAACAGACGAGGAGCUUGCUCCUCUGACGUUAGCGGCGGACGGGUGAGUAACACGUGGAUAACCUACCUAUAAGACUGGGAUAACUUCGGGAAACCGGAGCUAAUACCGGAUAAUAUAUUGAACCGCAUGGUUCAAUAGUUAAAGACGGUUUUGCUGUCACUUAUAGAUGGAUCCGCGCCGCAUUAGCUAGUUGGUAAGGUAACGGCUUACCAAGGCGACGAUGCGUAGCCGACCUGAGAGGGUGAUCGGCCACACUGGAACUGAGACACGGUCCAGACUCCUACGGGAGGCAGCAGUAGGGAAUCUUCCGCAAUGGGCGAAAGCCUGACGGAGCAACGCCGCGUGAGUGAUGAAGGUCUUCGGAUCGUAAAACUCUGUUAUUAGGGAAGAACAAAUGUGUAAGUAACUAUGCACGUCUUAACGGUACCUAAUCAGAAAGCCACGGCUAACUACGUGCCAGCCGCCGCCGUAA